CAGGACAGAUCUAUAGAUUAAUAUGUGAAUGCUACUUAGAUCCUGAUCCAAAUCAACUCUGCAAAAGAAGAAAAGUCCUUCAUGCUGCUGAGACACUUAGGCAUUUGGAGUUUGGAGAUUGAUUGUGUGUCUGAUGCUCUUAAGGAAUUGUUCAUUAUACCAGACAUGACAUACUUUCUGCAGCUCCUGGUGCUGCUUGUGUGCUCAUUUAGUGCGGACAUGGCAACUCUUUGGAAAGCAGCAGCUGAGAUGACUGCCGCACUAGCCAUGGUCACAAGAAACCCAAGGAAGGUGCCACGACUGAGAACGAUGAUCAUAUGAAUUUGAAGAUGGCGGGGCAGGAUAGUUCUGUGGUGCACGUUAAGACUAAGGAGCAUAUGCCAUUUCGUAAACUAAUGAAAGCCUAUUAUGAAAGACAGGGUUUGUCAAUGAGGCGGAUCCGAUUCUGAUUUGAUGGGCAGCCAAUCCAUGAAGCAGGCAUACCAGCAGAAUUAGAAGAAACAGGAGGAUCAAGACACAGUGGAUAUGUUCCAGCAGCAGACAGGAGGCAUCUUCUAAAAGGGAGCUGAGCCUACAGACCAAGAAUUCAUUCUCAGCGAGAAGACUACAAUUUGGUUGUACCGCAUGCUGACGGCUGCAGUAGAGUUCUGUUUCCCCAUUCCAUUCUUGUACAUCUUGUACAUUCUUGUAACCAGUGCCUGUGCGCAAGCAUACUGCAUUUCCCCACCUUUGCUUAUUGCUUUACUAAAUGGUCUGACUGAUAUCAGGUGGAGAAGGGCUGGGGGAAAAUAACGGUUCUGAGAAAAUACCCCUUCUCUAUUCAUGGCAUGCUCAUUCAGUUCUUCUCUUUAUAUUCGAGGAAGUUAUUUUGCUCACUGGUCAACAGGAAGUAACAGCAGGGUGUUCGCUGUUAACAAUAGCAUGAAACUGCGGUGUUCUGAGUGCUCUUCCCCUGCAAUGGGGUGCGGUUCUCAACGAAUUCUUCAAACAUUGUAUAAAUUCUUAUAAACAUUUAAAGGAAAAAUAAAUAGGCAUGUAAAGUUAGGAAAAAUGAACAAAAUAAAGGAAAACAUAAACAUGGUACUUAUCAGACUUGAAAAAAGGAUGUCCUUCCCCAAAUAUAUUAACUUCUAAUUACAACACUAACAAUUUUUCUAUCAGCAAAGCACCUUUAAAUUACUUAUAUUACUUAUAAGACACUACUGAAAUAAAAUAUAAGUUUUUUUUUUCUAGAUUUAGCUUCCUUCGAUUCUUAUAUUUGUAAAUUUCUAAUACGGUCCAGAGUAAGAAUUCUAUAUAUAAAUGUUUUGCUAAUAAAGGCCCUGUCAUAAAAAAUUUAGGCUUUUCAAUAGUGCACUCUUUGAAAGGGGUGUCCAAUCGCAAUUUAGGAAUUAAAGAAGUUUGUUAAUGGAAGGGUCAAAACUUUGAAACUAAAUAGAUCACUCCAAGUGUUAAGUCCAUGUUGGGGGGCUCCUGUCUGCCAUUUCUAGCCCAACCAUGAGGCAAACCUUCAAGGUGGGCGCCAUUUUGCGAAGGUCAAACGCCCAUUUCUAGAGAUCUAUAAAAAGGGUUACUGACCGCUUGUAUUUUCCCUUCAGAUAUUUCCUGUUAUGAGAUUGACUACACAACAUUGUUAAAACAGCACAUCCUGAUCGGCUUUACAUCAAGGUUUGAAACAGGAGCCGCACCCCAUUCCAAGGGUAAGAACAGACCACCUCAACCUCAUGCUAUUGUUAUACAGCUAACAUCCUGUUACUGGUUUUUCAUCGUUAAUGCCAAAACCACAGGGUUAAUAAAGACUUACUUCUGUUUCUGUAAA
Long non-coding RNA from Echinops telfairi (small Madagascar hedgehog), 1819 nucleotides. RefSeq lists it as uncharacterized. The transcript has 2 exons. The record is from RefSeq and is a predicted model, not a curated record. NCBI's taxonomy places the organism in Eukaryota, Metazoa, Chordata, Mammalia, Afrosoricida, Tenrecidae.